This 253-nucleotide ribosomal RNA is filed under the name uncultured bacterium. RNAcentral's name for it is "partial 16S ribosomal RNA". It matches the Rfam family "Bacterial small subunit ribosomal RNA", at positions 524 to 776 of the family's 1533-position model. The record is from RNAcentral.
UACGAAGGGUGCAAACGUUGCUCGGAAUCAUUGGGCGUAAAGCGCACGUAGGCGGCUUCGCAAGUCGGAUGUGAAAUCCCGUGGCUCAACCAUGGACGUGCAUCCGAAACUGCGAGGCUUGAGUAUGGAAGAGGGUCGCGGAAUUCCCGGUGUAGAGGUGAAAUGCGUAGAUAUUGGGAGGAACACCGGUGGCGAAGGCGGCCCCCUGGACCGGUACUGACGCUGAGACGCGAAAGCGUGGGGAGCGAACAGG